Molecule: ribosomal RNA, 1299 nt
Filed under: Triticum aestivum (bread wheat)
Lineage: Eukaryota; Viridiplantae; Streptophyta; Magnoliopsida; Poales; Poaceae
Description: partial small subunit ribosomal RNA
Source: RNAcentral
AUGAUCGCCUCCAGCGCUACCCCGAUGGGCCGCGCCACCACUCCAACCCCCGGUGCCCAGUCCCGGUGGCCGCGUGCCGUUGCGCAGCUCCACCUGGCUCUCCGCUCGCCAGCCGCGCGGAGUGGUAGCAGCGGGCGCUGGAUGGGAUGCUUCAGGCCGGCGCCGGUGCCCGCGCCGUCGUCACCGGCGGUUACGGUGGCGGUGAACGAGGGGAGGGGGAAGCGGCCGGAGGCAACGGAGGUGGAUAUGGAGCCGGCACGCGGCGGAGGGGACGACUUAUGGAGCGUUCAGGCCGAGGCGGAGGUAGCGCAGGGCGGGGAGUACCCGGAGCACCUUGUCGUCAUGGUCAAUGGCCUCGUGGGGAGUGCGGAUGACUGGAAGUUUGCAGCUGAGCAGUUCGUGAGGCGGAUGCCAGACAAAGUGAUCAUCCACCGGAGUCAAUGCAACUCUGCUACACAGACAUUUGACGGAGUUGACUUGAUGGGAGAAAGGUUAGCAAACGAGGUUCUAUCAGUUGUCGAGCAAAGAAGAGGUGUGAAGAUGAUCUCAAUUGUGGCGCACUCUCUGGGUGGUCUUGUUGCCAGAUAUGCUAUAGGAAGGCUUUACGAAUGUGGUAACAGAACUAAAUGUUCCGUUGGGAACAACAGAGAGCAAGUUGAAUGCUUGGAGGGUCUCAUCGCCGGCUUAAAACCUAUGAACUUUAUAACCUUUGCAUCACCACAUCUGGGUUCAAGUGGAAACAAACAGCUCCCCUUUCUAUGUGGCUUGCCUUUCCUGGAGCGAAGAGCAUCAGAAACUGCACAUUUGAUUGUUGGAAGAACUGGAAAGCAUUUAUUCCUUACAGACAGUGAUGAUGGUAGGCGUCCACUCCUUCUUCAAAUGGUUCAGGAUCAUGAUGAUAUAAAAUUCAGAUCCGGAUUGCGCUCUUUCAAACGACGUGUGGCAUAUGCGAAUGCCAAUUUUGACCAUAUGGUGGGUUGGAGAACAUCGUCAAUCCGGCGUCAACACGAGUUGCCAAAACAUCGCCUUCUUGUUCGUGAUGAGAAGUAUCCACAUAUAGUCCAUGUUGAUAGAGGAAUUAUGGAAAGAAAUGAAACCGAAGUGAGUGCUAAUCUCUGUGGCCCAGAAGAGGAGAUGAUAAGAGGCCUAACACAACUGCAGUGGGAACGUGUUGAUGUGAGCUUCCAGAAAAGUAGUCAAAGAUUGGUUGCGCAUAACACCAUCCAGGUAAAGAGCUAUUGGCUUAACUCAGAUGGGGCAGACGUUAUCAAUCACAUGAUGGAUAAUUUCCUCAUCUAG